GAUGAACGCUGGCGGCGUGCCUAAUACAUGCAAGUCGAGCGAACAGACGAGGAGCUUGCUCCUCUGACGUUAGCGGCGGACGGGUGAGUAACACGUGGAUAACCUACCUAUAAGACUGGGAUAACUUCGGGAAACCGGAGCUAAUACCGGAUAAUAUAUUGAACCGCAUGGUUCAAUAGUGAAAGACGGUUUUGCUGUCACUUAUAGAUGGAUCCGCGCCGCAUUAGCUAGUUGGUAGGGUAACAGCUUACCAAGGCAACGAUGCGUAGCCGACCUGAGAGGGUGAUCGGCCACACGGGAACUGAGACACGGUCCAGACUCCUACGGGAGGCAGCAGUAGGGAAUCUUCCGCAAUGGGCGAAAGCCUGACGGAGCAACGCCGCGUGAGUGAUGAAGGUCUUCGGAUCGUAAAACUCUGUUAUUAGGGAAGAACAAAUGUGUAAGUAACUAUGCACGUCUUGACGGUACCUAAUCAGAAAGCCACGGCUAACUACGUG
Molecule: ribosomal RNA, 497 nt
Filed under: uncultured bacterium
Lineage: Bacteria
Description: partial 16S ribosomal RNA
Rfam family: Bacterial small subunit ribosomal RNA
Source: RNAcentral